Pseudopipra pipra is the source of this 1318-nucleotide long non-coding RNA. RefSeq lists it as uncharacterized. The record is from RefSeq and is a predicted model, not a curated record. Lineage: Eukaryota; Metazoa; Chordata; Aves; Passeriformes; Pipridae. The transcript has 3 exons.
CCUGAUCACCACCCUGGCCAGCAGAUUUCAACCAGCCUGCUGUCUGCUCAUCCAGCCCAUACUUCAUGGGCUUCUCUGUGAGGGAGCCCUGUCUGUGUCCACUAGUACACACAUUCAUUUGGAUUUUAAACAAUCAAACAGAAGUGAGAGUUUUAAGAGCAGAAUUAUUUUUCAAAGGGAAAUAGAAGGGUAUGGCUUUGAUGGAACGAGUGCCUUCAAGCUCCACUGGCAGGCACUGUUUGAAAACUAUUUGGGUGAUUUUUGAUAAGAAAUGAAAGAUGCAACAGCAGGAAGCCAUUCAGCAAUCCCUGACAAGGGAGGUCCACUGUCAAUUGCUGGGAGGGCCCCCACCUGUUUCUUUUAAUGGUGCUCCCAAAUCCCACCCCUUGGGCCUCCCAUCCCAUCCUUUUUGGUCCCCUCAGGCAUCUCCUCCCCAGGAUCUGCUCUGUGUCCUACCCAGGGUCCCCAGACAUCCUCCCAUUGAUCAUUCCCAAAGCUUUUCUUUCCAUCCUUCCCCUCAGACCUUUGCCUUUCACCCAGGCCACUGCCCUGGUACCUCCCAAGACCAUUCCUUGCCUCCCUCUCCACUCCCAACCAUCUCCCAGUCCCCUCAUUUUUGUCCUCCUCCAUCCUCCUCCUCCUGUCCCCACCAAGCCUCUCCCUUGCAGUCCCCAUGUCCCUACACUUGAAUUCCUUUCCCCUCCCCUGCAUCCCACACAGGGCCCCUUCAACACCCCAAUCCCAGUCCCGUGGGCUCCCCAGUUCCCCCCAGUUCAGCAUCUUUGGGUCCCCUCCUACUCCCCCCACCCUCCCUGCAGGCCCUGAAUUCCCCUGGCUCUCCUUGUCUCCAUCCCCACCCUGGGCCCUGCAGGCACAGGGGUUGGAGGUGAAACUGGGUGCAGUGGGAGCAGGGGGAGCAGAAGGGAUUUUCCCCCUCAGACGGGGGCAGCCCUGGGCUGGGGGGCUGGGGACACCCGUGUCCCUCCCCCAGCCCCACAGGGGCCAAUCCUGCUUAACCCUUUGCUCUCCUUGCCCAGGCACUCUUGGCAGGAACCCAAAAUGAUCUGCGGGAGGUGAGUGGGCCGGGGGGACUGGAGGGCAUCCAGUCUGGGAACUGGGGGACACUUUGGUCCCCCCAUCCCUCGCUGGCACCGGGGACAUCCCAGUGACCAGCCAGGGCUCCUGGUCUCUCUCCAGCUGCAUUUAGUGGACGUUGGGAUCCUGAAGAUGGCUCAGGCUCCCAAUACAUCCCACUGCACCCAGUGUGUCUCUGAGCCUGUCUUUGUCCCCAGCCCCCUGUGGUUGAGAAGGUGCUGGG